AAGUACUUACAAGGGUCCUAAAAUUUAAAACAGCUGAAAGAGGUGGUUGACAGUAUCUUGCUAAACUCUUGCUAAUGCUGAGACUGGGGAAUGACCCCUGCCCCAAGUUAAGGUCCUUUCCUCUCAUUAGAAUCCUUAAAGAAACCCAUUGUGUUUGAAGUGGGGCUGAGAACUGUUGUUGCAUUCUCAGAUCCUCAGAGAACAUUUGUAACUUCACUAGUCUUUUCUCUUACCUCCUGUGUGUAUUACCUCUUGGGCAUUGUUUGAGUUGGUCUGACAUGAAUAAUUAUAAGGAAAUCCAAUUGAAAACAGAAUCGCUCUGUAUAAUCUGUGCUCCCAUAACUAAUUACAGCCACUUAUGUGUGGUGGCCACUAUUUCUGGCUUGUUCACGAAUGCAUAAAAACUAAUAUGUGUCA
RNAcentral lists this long non-coding RNA (417 nucleotides) under Pan troglodytes (chimpanzee). RNAcentral describes it as "long non-coding RNA NONPTRT010950". The record is from RNAcentral. Lineage: Eukaryota; Metazoa; Chordata; Mammalia; Primates; Hominidae.